This 396-nucleotide ribosomal RNA is filed under the name uncultured bacterium. RNAcentral's name for it is "partial 16S ribosomal RNA". It matches the Rfam family "Bacterial small subunit ribosomal RNA", at positions 523 to 917 of the family's 1533-position model. The record is from RNAcentral.
AUACGUAGGGGGCGAGCGUUGUCCGGAAUGAUUGGGCGUAAAGGGCGCGUAGGCGGCCCGGUAAGUCUGGAGUGAAAGUCCUGUUUUUAAGAUGGGAAUUGCUUUGGAUACUGUCGGGCUUGAGUGCAGGAGAGGUAAGUGGAAUUCCCAGUGUAGCGGUGAAAUGCGUAGAGAUUGGGAGGAACACCAGUGGCGAAGGCGACUUACUGGACUGUAACUGACGCUGAGACGCGAAAGUGUGGGGAGCAAACAGGAUUAGAUUCCCUGGUAGUCCACACUGUAAACGGUGAAUGCUAGGUGUAGGGGGUAUCGACCCCUUCUGUGCCGCAGUCAACACAAUAAGCAUUCCGCCUGGGGGGUACGGCCGCAAGGUUGAAACUCAAAUGAAUGGACGGG